This 407-nucleotide ribosomal RNA is filed under the name uncultured bacterium. RNAcentral's name for it is "partial 16S ribosomal RNA". It matches the Rfam family "Bacterial small subunit ribosomal RNA", at positions 30 to 526 of the family's 1533-position model. The record is from RNAcentral.
AUUGAACGCUGGCGGCAGGCCUAACACAUGCAAGUCGAGCGGAGCGGCGGACGGGUGAGUAAUGCCUAGGAAUCUGCCUGGUGGUGGGGGAUAACGUCCGGAAACGGUCGCUAAUACCGCAUACUAUCAGAUGAGCCGAGGUCGGAUUAGCUAGUUGGUGGGGUAAAGGCCUACCAAGGCGACGAUCCGUAACUGGUCUGAGAGGAUGAUCAGUCACACUGGAACUGAGACACGGUCCAGACGCCUACGGGAGGCAGCAGUGGGGAAUAUUGGACAAUGGGCGAAAGCCUGAUCCAGCCAUGCCGCGUGUGUGAAGAAGGUCUUCGGAUUGUAAAGCACUUUUAGUUGGGAGGCGUUACCAACAGAAUAAGCACCGGCUAACUCCGUGCCAGCAGCCGCGGUAAUAC